Molecule: ribosomal RNA, 373 nt
Filed under: uncultured bacterium
Lineage: Bacteria
Description: bacterial SSU rRNA
Rfam family: Bacterial small subunit ribosomal RNA
Source: RNAcentral
GGGGGGAGCAAGCGUUGUUCGGAUUUACUGGGCGUAAAGGGCGCGUAGGCGGCCACCGCAAGUCGACUGUGAAAUCUCCGGGCUUAACCCGGAAAGGUCAGCCGAUACUGCGGGGCUAGAGUGCAGAAGGGGCAACUGGAAUUCUCGGUGUAGCGGUGAAAUGCGUAGAUAUCGAGAGGAACACCUGCGGCGAAGGCGGGUUGCUGGGCUGACACUGACGCUGAAGUGCGAAAGCUAGGGGAGCGAACGGGAUUAGAUACCCCGGUAGUCCUAGCCUUAAACGAUGAAUGCUUGGUGUCUGGGGUUUUAUAGUCCCCGGGUGCCGUCGCUAACACUUUAAGCAUUCCGCCUGGGGAGUACGGUCGCUAGACUG